AUCAUCGUCGUGCGGCGUGCCUCAGACACGCAAGUCGAACGCGAAAGUCCCCCUCGGGGGAUAAGUAGAGUGGCGCACGGGUGAGUAACACGUAGGUAAUCUACCUUCGGGUGGGGAAUAACCCAGGGAAACUUGGGCUAACACCGCAUAAUGCAGCGGCACCACAUGGUGACAGUUGUUAAAGCGGGGGAUUUUAGGACCUCGCGCCUGAAGAGGAGCCUGCGGCAGAUUAGCUAGUUGGUAAGGUAACGGCUUACCAAGGCGACGAUCUGUAACCGGCCUGAGAGGGCGGUCGGUCACACUGACACUGACAUACGGGUCAGACUCCUACGGGAGGCAGCAGUCGGGAAUUUUGGGCAAUGGGCGAAAGCCUGACCCAGCAACGCCGCGUGAAGGAUGAAAUCCCUCGGGAUGUAAACUUCGCAAGAUUGGGAAGAAUUAGUAGGGGUUAAUACCCCCUAUGAUGACGGUACCUUUUGUAAGCUCCGGCUAACUCCGUGCCAGCAGCCGCGGUAAUACGGGGGGAGCAAGCGUUGUUCGGAUUUACUGGGCGUAAAGGGCGCGUAGGCGGUCAGCACAAGUCAGUUGUGAAAUCUCCGGGCUUAACUCGGAAAGGUCAACUGAUACUGUGCGACUAGAGUGCAGAAGGGGCAACUGGAAUUCUCGGUGUAGCGGUGAAAUGCGUAGAUAUCGAGAGGAACACCUGCGGCGAAGGCGGGUUGCUGGGCUGACACUGACGCUGAGGCGCGAAAGCCAGGGGAGCGAACGGGAUUAGAUACCCUGGUAGUCCACGCCGUAAACGAUGGGUGCUAGGUGUGGGCGGUGUCGACUCCGUCCGUGCCGAAGCUAACGCAUUAAGCACCCCGCCUGGGGAGUACGGCCGCAAGGCUAAAACUCAAAGGAAUUGACGGGGGCCCGCACAAGCGGUGGAGCAUGUGGUUUAAUUCGACGCAACGCGAAGAACCUUACCUGGGUUUGACAUGUGCAGGACCAGUGAUGAAAGUCACUCUCCCUUCGGGGCCUGUGCACAGGUGCUGCAUGGCUGUCGUCAGCUCGUGUCGUGAGAUGUUGGGUUAAGUCCCGCAACGAGCGCAACCCUCGCCCUCUGUUGCUACCGGGUCAUGCCGGGCACUCUGAGGGGACUGCCCCGGUGAACGGGGAGGAAGGUGGGGAUGACGUCAAGUCCUCAUGGCCUUUAUGUCCAGGGCUACACACGUGCUACAAUGGUCAGGACAAUGGGUUGCUCCCUCGCAAGAGGUUGCCAAUCUCAAAAACCUGACCCUAGUUCGGAUGGUCGGCUGCAACUCGCCGGCCUGAAGCUGGAAUCGCUAGUAAUCG
This 1338-nucleotide ribosomal RNA is filed under the name uncultured bacterium. Its description in RNAcentral is "bacterial SSU rRNA". It matches the Rfam family "Bacterial small subunit ribosomal RNA", at positions 29 to 1344 of the family's 1533-position model. The record is from RNAcentral.